AGAGUUUGAUCAUGGCUCAGGACGAACGCUGGCGGCGUGCUUAACACAUGCAAGUCGAACGGAAAGGCCCCUUCGGGGGUGCUCGAGUGGCGAACGGGUGAGUAACACGUGGGUGAUCUGCCCUGCACUUUGGGAUAAGCCUGGGAAACUGGGUCUAAUACCGGAUAGGACUACGGGAUGCAUGUUCUGUGGUGGAAAGCGUUUGCGGUGUGGGAUGGGCCCGCGGCCUAUCAGCUUGUUGGUGGGGUGAUGGCCUACCAAGGCGACGACGGGUAGCCGGCCUGAGAGGGUGUCCGGCCACACUGGGACUGAGAUACGGCCCAGACUCCUACGGGAGGCAGCAGUGGGGAAUAUUGCACAAUGGGCGCAAGCCUGAUGCAGCGACGCCGCGUGAGGGAUGACGGCCUUCGGGUUGUAAACCUCUUUCAGUCACGACGAAGCGCAAGUGACGGUAGUGACAGAAGAAGCACCGGCCAACUACGUGCCAGCAGCCGCGGUAAUACGUAGGGUGCGAGCGUUGUCCGGAAUUACUGGGCGUAAAGAGCUCGUAGGUGGUUUGUCGCGUUGUUCGUGAAAACUCACAGCUCAACUGUGGGCGUGCGGGCGAUACGGGCAGACUGGAGUACUGCAGGGGAGACUGGAAUUCCUGGUGUAGCGGUGGAAUGCGCAGAUAUCAGGAGGAACACCGGUGGCGAAGGCGGGUCUCUGGGCAGUAACUGACGCUGAGGAGCGAAAGCGUGGGGAGCGAACAGGAUUAGAUACCCCCGUAGUCC
This 773-nucleotide ribosomal RNA is filed under the name uncultured bacterium. RNAcentral describes it as "bacterial SSU rRNA". It matches the Rfam family "Bacterial small subunit ribosomal RNA", at positions 8 to 796 of the family's 1533-position model. The record is from RNAcentral.